CAGCAGUAGAUUGUAACAACUUGUUGUCAACAGUUACGAAGGCUGAAGUUGUCGUCAAUUUGAUUGCAACUAAUCUAAAAACGAAUAUCAAAAUUUUACUAACAAAUUAUCGUCAACUAUUUGCACGAUCAAGUUUUUGCAGCCAACUUGACAUCUUAUUUCUGUUGCAGAUUUCCUCCCCCUUGCGAUCAAAAUUGCUAUUAGGGGUCGCGCUUAAAUUAUCGAUAAAUUAUCUAGUGUGAUGAUAAGACUAAACAUUUCAAUGAUCUGCUGAACCGACAAAAGUUACCUCUAAAUUUAAAGAGCAAAUUUACGUCUACCUCAUAAUUUUUUGCAGUAAAUUUGCUGUCUCCAAAUGUAAAUUAAAAUUACGUUGAAACUCCAAUUGCUGUCAGGAAUUAAUAUUUUUAAAAAAAAUUUCAUUAUCGAUAUUUAUCAUUUUUUUUUUCGUCCCAAUGAUAUUUUUUUUUUAUAAAUAAUGAAAUGACUUAAUUGUUAUUUUAAAAAUUUUUGUGACCAAUUUGUCAGACACGUGAUGUAAAAAUACAGCAAGUGGCGAAAGGUAUAAUUUUAAUCAACAAUAAGAAAUUUAAAACUCCCAAGAGUGUAAUCUGGUGGCUGACAAUGAUGAUAGGGUUGUUUUAUGUUUGUUUUUUAGGGAAGGUGUCAAUGCAUUGUCAUGUCUAAGACGCGUGCCGACACGUGACUUUCCCGCAGAUCAAUUUGUCACUGCUCUUAUUUACUUCAAAUAUUACAGUCUACUACUGCAUAUACUUAUUUUAAAUAUAAAUAUCCUCAGAUGAAUUAAAAACUGUCGAAAAUAUAAAGACGGUUAAGAAUAAAGAGGACUCAGUAAAAAAUGAAACUGCAAAGAUGGGAGGAGUCGAGACAGUAUGGAUUUUCUCCGAGGAUCAGGUGCAAGAGACACAUCUGCAAAACUCGUGCUCUGUUUCUGUGUACCCAGACAUACUCAAACACACUUUCUAUCGAUUUGUUUAAAAUUUUUUAAAAUACUUAAAUACUUAUUAACUUUUUUACCCUCAAAAUAAACAAAUUUCUAAGCCCGACAGAGUUGACCAGUAGCAGAAAUUAGCAAGCGACCAGAAAUUUUUGAAUAUUUUUUUUCCCUCUUUAUUUCAAUUAUCAGGCGGAGAAUCGAUUGGAAAAAUUUGAUUGAUUGGAAUGAUUUUUUUUUAUAAAAAUUAAAGUCUAAAUGGCGGCAUAGGCAAAAAUAGUAGGCGUGUUGUCGGUAAUCACGCGGGUUGAAUCUCAAUUGGUGGUCUCGACAAAUACUUGAAUUCGAGGGUGUGGCUUGUUUUGAGGGUGGAAUUUACCCUUAACAACCGCGCACUGCGUUGUCCCAUGGACCAGAUCUAAAUCUUAUCAGAUAUCUUAUGCCCGUUGUCUUGUCUACUUGACAAGUAAUUUACACAAAGUCUUAGUGUAAUUUAAUCCUAUUUUACAAAUUUGUGGAUUCAUUUAUUUUUGAAAUUAAUACAUAUAUUUUUUAAUUGCAAUUAUUUUUUUCCGUGACCAAGUGCUAGUUUAAUUAAAUUAUUUAUUAAAGUAAAUAAUAUAAAUAUCUCGGGGUAGUUUAUUAUUAAAAGUAUCGUUGGAAACAGUGGGAUAAAAAGUGUCGUAAAUAAAAAAUAUCGUCACCGGUGGAACUAUUAAAUGGAAUAUUAUAAUUAAAAUUAAUGAAUAAUAAUAAUAUUUAUAAUAAUUAUAAUAAUAAAAUGGAGCGUGAAGCAUUGCAUCCAAUAACGACGUGUUGCAAUUUGAGUGUUCAGUCUCGUACCCGCAGAGAAAGAGAAAAUUCAAUGAACGUAAGUCAUAGUGGAUCUAAUGGAAUUAAUUCAACGGGAUCACUGGGUACACUUUCACGAGAGGAACGCCGACGGCGAAGACGAGCCACUCAAAAAUAUCGAACCGCCCACGCA
Long non-coding RNA from Microplitis mediator, 1940 nucleotides. RefSeq lists it as uncharacterized. The record is from RefSeq and is a predicted model, not a curated record. Lineage: Eukaryota; Metazoa; Arthropoda; Insecta; Hymenoptera; Braconidae. The transcript is spliced from 3 exons.